RNAcentral lists this long non-coding RNA (272 nucleotides) under Coffea arabica (coffee). Its description in RNAcentral is "long non-coding RNA (CARA_LNC000598)". Lineage: Eukaryota; Viridiplantae; Streptophyta; Magnoliopsida; Gentianales; Rubiaceae. The record is from RNAcentral.
CUGCAAGCAGUUUCACAAUUUCAUCUGGCAGCAUUCCCUGGUAAUUAGGGGACUCUUGUUUUGGUUCAAUUUCCUUCACAUCUUCAAUGCUUUCCUCCUCUCCCGAUGGUCGUGGAGUUAACUUUUGAGCCCAUCUUCUCCGACGCUCUUUUCCCUCGCAAACAACUCUGGCCUUAUUUUCUUUUUGAAGUAUAGUUAUUACUUCAUCUUGUUCGAUUCCCUGUUGAGAGGUGAAUUCCUCGGGGGCUGCAUCGUCGGAGUCACUAUCUCCU